Molecule: ribosomal RNA, 2078 nt
Filed under: Apherusa jurinei
Lineage: Eukaryota; Metazoa; Arthropoda; Malacostraca; Amphipoda; Calliopiidae
Description: partial 18S ribosomal RNA
Rfam family: Eukaryotic small subunit ribosomal RNA
Source: RNAcentral
UGUCUAAGUCCAGCUGGGCGUUCUGGGUGCAAGCCUAGGCGCUCGGCGAAACCGCGGACGGCUCAUUAAAUCAGUCGUGGUCCAAAUGGGCUAGUGUUAUCUUACUUGGAUAACUGUGGUAAUUCCAGAGCUAAUACAUGCAACUGAAGGUUCGAUCGGUUAGGGGCAACUCUGGCUGUGACGACUGCUUUUAUUAGACCAAACCGCUCUGAGCUUCGGCUCUUAGACCCGUGUUAUGGUGACUCUGAAUAACACCACUUGACAAGCGCACGUAUCCACUCGUUGGGACGGCGCUGCCACUUUCGAGUGUCUGCCUUAUCAGCUAUGUAUCGUUCGUUAUGUGCGACCGAUGGCUUUGACGGGUAACGGGGAAUCAGAGUUCGAUUCCGGAGAGGCAGCCUGAGAAACGGCUACCACGUCCAAGGACGGCAGCAGGCACGCAAAUUACCCAAUCCCAGCAUCUGGGGGAGGUAGUGACGAAAUCUAACGAUGCGGGCGCCCCUUCUGGGGCCCCGCAAUCGGAAUGAGCAUUCUCUUUCUAAACACCCUGUUGAGAACCUACUGAAGGGCAAGUCUGGUGCCAGCAGCCGCGGUAAUUCCAGCUUCAGCAGCAUAUACUAAUGUUGCUGCGGUUAAAAGGCUCGCAGUUGAAUGUCAGUAUCGAGCGUAGCGAUGGUGGACGUUGGGGUUUGUUCGGAGGAUGAUGCGGUGUACUUGAGCCUUCGGGUGAGAGUCCUGUGUCUGAUGCCGGGCAAGCUUAAGCCCCCGUCCGUGUCAAGCCUCCUCGCUCGUGUACAAAGUGGAAGUUUCUGUUACAGGGAUGAGUGCGUGUUCUUCUUCGGGAGGAUGCGUGCGAGUCUCUUGAGUUUCCGAAGGCACCUUGAGUAAAUCAGAGUGCUCAAAGCAGUCGUAAGGAGCGUUCCGGUUCGGCCGUGCGCUCCGUGAUGAAUGUCAUUGCGACAGACGGUCUUGGUUUUGCAUGGUAUGUCGAAAGACGCCGCCGCUGUUGGUAACGGGUCUGGUGCGGGGUUGUGUCGUGUGCCGAAGCUCCUCACGGAGUCUGAGGUGCGUGCUCAGCCAUUUACAAAGACCAACAGUUGCGGAAUGAUUAAGAGGGACGGUCGAGGGCAUUAGUAUUGCGAGGCGAGAGGUGAAAUUCUAUGACCCCCGCAAGACUUCCUGAAGCGAAAGCGUCUGCCAAGGACGUUUCAUAAUCAUGAACGACCAGGCGUGGAGCUGCGGCUUAAUUUGACUCAACACGGGCCAUCUCACCAGGCCAGCACUCUUGUAUGAUUGACAGAUUGAGAGUUCUUUCUCGAUUCAGUGGAUGGUGGUGCAUGGCCGUUCUUAGUUGGUGGAGUGAUCUGUCUGGUUAAUUCCGAUAACGAACGAGACUCUCCCCUGCUAACUAGUCGGUUGGAUCUUGUAUCGAGAGUUGCCGAGGUGUGUUGUGUAAGGGAGUUUGGCGGGUCUGAACUGGUGUGUGCCGCGGGCUUUCGGGUUCGUGUGUGCCUCUGGUGAUGGCUUUAGCUUGCUUUCCUGCCUCAUGCUAGCUGGCACUCCAAGUCCGCCGCUUGCCCGGCUGCGGGUGCGCUUCGCGCGUGUUCGUGGUGGGUAAAACUCUUCUUAGAGGGAUUGACGGUUCUGAAGCCGUAAGAGACUGAGAGCAAUAACAGGUCUGUGAUGCCCUUAGAUGUUCUGGGCCGCACGCGCGCUACAAUGCCGGGCUCAGCAGGUGUUUGUCCUUCUCCGAGAGGAGUGGGUAACCCUUUGAAAGCCCUUUAAACUCUUUCGGUGCUGUCCACUCCUUGCGAGUGUGAUGGCCUAUUGGCUUGCUUGGGCCUGGGGCUUGCAAUUCUUUCCCACAAACGAGGAAUGCCUAGUAGCGGCGGAUCACUGAGUUCGCUGUGACUCAGUCCCUGCCCUUUGUACACACCGCCCGUCGCUACUACCGAUUGGGUGUACCAGUGAGAUCUUUGGACUGGCGAGCCUUGCGCAUACCGUUAACGCGGCGCGCAAGUGUGUACGACGGAAAGAGGCUCGAACUGGUGCACUUAGAGGAAGUAAAAGUCGUAACA